GACGAACGCUGGCGGCGUGCUUAACACAUGCAAGUCGAACGGAAAGGCCCUGCUUUUGUGGGGUGCUCGAGUGGCGAACGGGUGAGUAACACGUGAGUAACCUGCCCUUGACUUUGGGAUAACUUCAGGAAACUUGGGCUAAUACCGGAUAGGAGCUCCUGCUGCAUGGUGGGGGUUGGAAAGUUUCGGCGGUUGGGGAUGGACUCGCGGCUUAUCAGCUUGUUGGUGGGGUAGUGGCUUACCAAGGCUUUGACGGGUAGCCGGCCUGAGAGGGUGACCGGCCAAAUUGGGACUGAGAUACGGCCCAGACUCCUACGGGAGGCAGCAGUGGGGAAUAUUGCACAAUGGGCGGAAGCCUGAUGCAGCAACGCCGCGUGCGGGAUGACGGCCUUCGGGUUGUAAACCGCUUUCGCCUGUGACGAAGCGUGAGUGACGGUAAUGGGUAAAGAAGCACCGGCUAACUACGUG
This 468-nucleotide ribosomal RNA is filed under the name uncultured bacterium. Its description in RNAcentral is "partial 16S ribosomal RNA". It matches the Rfam family "Bacterial small subunit ribosomal RNA", at positions 28 to 507 of the family's 1533-position model. The record is from RNAcentral.